GUUAGGGGGAAGAGGAGCUGAUGGACGGAGGCCAAAACGUUUGUUUGUCAGUUUAGGAGAACACACAUUGGAAUAUUAUACAUGCUGGAACCGAAAUCUUGUCUGCCAGGUCAAUUGAAGAGACAUGUCUCACAGUCACCUCAGGAUUCCAGGAGAUUAAUCCCGGCAAGAGGAUAAAGACUUAUUUGGGUACACUUUCCUGCUGGUCGUGGAUUUACGUUAUCGUUAUUUUUUUCUUCAAAAUCAAAGUGAGUUUUCAUGGGCACCAACGCUUCAGCCAGAGGACACAAAGAGAUUUGUCCUGACAUGGCUGGGGAAUUAAUUAUCAAAAAGGGUUGUGCCAUAGGAUGUUAAUAUGGAAAUUCUGGGAAGACAGAUGGAAAAGACCUUCAAGAGUCACUUGAUGUUAUGACUGGGUAAAGUAUGGACGGAGAAUCCCAUUGGAAGCCAGGAGUAACUUUGAACUGCUUUUUUUCAUAAAGAAGUCAAUUCUGUAGAAAAUAAUUUAAAACUGUGAUGUGGGUAUUUUGAGUACAAUAAAUUACUAAUAAGAAAUUUAUUUUUUGUGAUUUUGAGCAGUGGUUGCCUACAGAAUAAUGCUUAGUUAAUGUUGAUUUCAUUUCAUUUGGUGUAGUAGAAGUCUUAAAAUGUAAAAUCUUAUUAUGGAAUUUCUUUAAGUUGGUCAUUGAGAAUUCAAAUAUCCUUUAAACAUUGUCAGCCUCUACAGGGAUCCUAACACCUGAAUCUAGAUAUGUUUGGCCUAAUUUCAAAGUUUGUACAUUACCUGAAAUUUUGAAGUACAGUAAUCAUUGAGAAAAACAGGAACAGACUUCAGGUGAACAUAGACUCAUGAAAUAGAUAAACAAAUUGCAGAUUAAAUUCAAUGUAAAUGUGUGUAAUAUUAUAUAUUUUUGUAGAGGAAAAUAUGUAGGAGUGACAAUAUGAACUGAACUGUGUAAUUUUGAAAGGAGCAUGAAAAAGUGAGAGGAUAGUCGUUGUAAUUUGCAAAAAUCCUAGAAGGAAUCCGGAAAAUAUUGAGAAGCCUGUUAAAAGAGCAGAAAGCUUUAUUAAGAAAGGAAUAGAAUAACAGGGCCGUUGUAUUAGUCUUUUAUAAAACCCUGGUUAGGCGGAAUAGUUUUAGAGUGCUGUUAAAGAAGGUGCAGAAGAGAUUUACUGGAAGAGUGCCAGAUAGGAAGGGUUUCAGAAUAGCUCAGGGCAGGGAGGAUAAAGAGAAGACUAGAUGGGGUGUUCAAAAUCAAACAUAAUUUUGAAAGAAUAGACAGUGAGAAAACAGAAAUGACGUGAGGAACAGGUGUUUUACAAAGUGAGUUGUUAUGAUCUGGAAUAUACUGCCUGAAAAAUAUGGUAGAGGCAAACUCAAUAGUAACUUUCAAAAGGAAUUGAAUAAACACUUGACAGAAAAACAAAUCAUAUCUAUUUGGAUUAAGCAAGGAAAAAUGAUUAAUUGGAUAAUUCUACCAAAGAAGUGUCAUUGGUGUGAUGGACUGAGUGAUUUCCUGCUGUGCUGGAUCUAUGCACCAACAUACUGUACUGACCUUGAAAGCAAUUGCUUCAUGAGGAAAUUCCUACCCUUUUGAGGUUAAAUAUCCCAGUUAUAUUUAGAAACAAGCAUUACAUAAAUUUCUAUUCAGCCUGUCAUUGUUCUAAAAUAAAACUGGCAAUUAAAAUACUAAAUAAUGCACAAUGUCAUGUGAAUUUUCCCUUUUAAUCUUUACAGAGAUGUCUGUCAAAAAGAAAGUUGUGAGAAAUAUGCCAAUAUAGAUUUGCGAGACAUUAUCAGCAUAAUUUCCAAUGUCCAAAUUUUAUUAAUUCAAAAUUAAAGCAAGUAUUUUCAAUAUGAUGUAAUAGCUGAAAUCCUGACCUUGGCAAUUCUCAAAGAGUUUUCAAGUCCCUCUUUACCUCUCUAGCUUGAUAUUGCUAAGUUAUUGAAAAAAAAAAGCUUUACAAGGUCAAAUUGAAGAUAUGGAAAAAAUAAGCUGCCAAAUUGAGAUCAAUAUCAUCUUUAGGAAAACUGCUUUAGUCGCCAAGUUGCACUUAAUGACCCAAAUUAAAUCCUUUGGACCUUCUGUGUCCUCUCUACCUUUAAUAUAAGUGGCAGGAAAGAGUUAGGCAGUGAGUCAAUAACAGUAAAAAGUCCUGUAUCUGCACUUAUAAUUGAUGUGUCAGAUGAUAAUAGUUAAAAAUCCUCCUUUCCAGAAACAGCACCAAAUUAUGUAAUAAGAAAAAUAAUUGUUGAGAAAACAAUAUUUCAAGAUGGGUCAAAAUCCGAAUUUCACUUUUAAAUUACACAAAAGGUCCAAAUCAAUUUUUACACAUUCAUUUUUGCACUAAUUAAUGUGAAGGUUGUUCAUCUUUUAGCACGUGGUUUGAUGCCACACUGAGUUUUUCAUGGAUAUUCAAGCUCUGACCUAUUGUUACAUCACGUAUGUUCAUGCCCAUGUGCUCUCGAUGUUUCUUCCAGAGUGUGGAUAGUAUAAUUGUAGUCUGGUCUACUGUUCAUUCUAACUCCAUCUGCAUUGCUAUUUAUGCUGAGCUAUGUGCAGCUAUUUAAAAACAUUGCAACAUUGCACCAGGGUCCCAACACAACACACUACCCCAAGCAUUUCUUCCCCCAUGAUAAACAUUGAUUACAAGUUACAUUCAUUCGAAAAUGAUUUACUUAGGUUAUUACCUUUUACAAUAUUUCCUGUCAAUGUUGUUUUUAUCUCUCUCAUCCCUCCCCAAGUUUUUGACUUGAUUCAUUUGUGCCAAUGGUUGGGUAAGGAAAUUCCAUGACCUAGAAAGAAACAUUUGAGAAUUAAAAAAUAACUUGGUUCUUUAUAUCAGAAAUUCAGUCGAUCUGGUGAAGGAAGUUGUGGCGAUGUAACUUUGCUCCCAUGCUGUUAUGAUGUCAAACUUAAUUUGUUUUGUAUUGAUCAAUUGUCCACGUAACACAUGAUCUGAUGUUGAUCCUAUAUAAUAGGGAAGUUUGUUAAUGCGUGCUAUAUUUGAUUUUAGAUCCAAUGCUAACACCAUUUGAUAUCUUAGGAAUUAUGUUUUCUGUGUUUGCCAAUUUACUAAUUUAUCAAAUGAAUCUGAGACCUUAAAUUUUCCUGAUGGAAAGAUUGGUUCAAGCAAAUUUUGUUACAUCACUUAAUUAUUGAUAGACACUUCAAUUUGUUGAUUACCUUGGUUUGCAUAAUAUUAUUAGGAUUUUGACUUCCUUGUGCUACACUUAUUUUGUUGUCUUCUGUUACUCUAACUAGAUUAAAGUUGUUGUUGAAUCUUUGUUGUUAUGAAGAUUGUUGUCACAGUAAAACUGACAAUUUUUAAAUUUUCUGUUCCCUUUAAACUUGUUGCUUUACCAGUACGGCUUAUGUAUGAAGCUAUUCCUUUUCCAUAAUAGCUGGAGAAUUUCUAAAAAUCUAUUGGUAGAAUUUUUUGAAAUGGCUUCCCUCAACAAGAUUCAAUAAAUCUCUGAUUCUGCCAAUGAUAUCUGCCUGAUGUCAUUGGUGCCAAUUUUUUUCUUCCUCCAAGAACUCAAAACCACUUGGUCAGAUUUAUGCCUGUUUUCUUCAUCCAAUGUUUCAUAUUUUUGAAUGAAUGAAAUAGAUUAAAGCUUCUUAA
Non-coding RNA from Chiloscyllium plagiosum (whitespotted bambooshark), 3627 nucleotides. NCBI's taxonomy places the organism in Eukaryota, Metazoa, Chordata, Chondrichthyes, Orectolobiformes, Hemiscylliidae. The record is from RefSeq and is a predicted model, not a curated record.